RNAcentral lists this long non-coding RNA (1895 nucleotides) under Homo sapiens (human). RNAcentral's name for it is "long non-coding RNA NONHSAT200245.1". The record is from RNAcentral. Lineage: Eukaryota; Metazoa; Chordata; Mammalia; Primates; Hominidae.
ACAUCUUGUGGCUGUGUCGUGCGCGUGAGCCCCGUAGGGCCGGGGAGGCACCAGCUGCCGCGCGGGGAGGAGGCCGAGGCCGCAGCUUGAGGGAGGCCCCGGCCCCUCUGCGCCUGUGUCUGGCAGAGCUGGUGUGAGACGAGACAAUCCUGCCCCGCCGCCGGGAUAAUCAAGAGUUUUGGCCGGACCUUUGAGCAUACACCGAGAGAGUGAGGAGCCAGACGACAAGCACACACUAUGGCGCUGAAACGGAUUAAUAAGGAACUUAGUGAUUUGGCCCGUGACCCUCCAGCACAAUGUUCUGCAGGUCCAGUUGGGGAUGAUAUGUUUCAUUGGCAAGCCACAAUUAUGGGACCUAAUGACAGCCCAUAUCAAGGCGGUGUAUUCUUUUUGACAAUUCAUUUUCCUACAGACUACCCCUUCAAACCACCUAAGGCAAGUUGCAUUUACAACAAGAAUUUAUCAUCCAAAUAUUAACAGUAAUGGCAGCAUUUGUCUCGAUAUUCUAAGAUCACAGUGGUCGCCUGCUUUAACAAUUUCUAAAGUUCUUUUAUCCAUUUGUUCACUGCUAUGUGAUCCAAACCCAGAUGACCCCCUAGUGCCAGAGAUUGCACGGAUCUAUAAAACAGACAGAGAUAAGUACAACAGAAUAUCUCGGGAAUGGACUCAGAAGUAUGCCAUGUGAUGCUACCUUAAAGUCAGAAUAACCUGCAUUAUAGCUGGAAUAAACUUUAAAUUACUGUUCCUUUUUUGAUUUUCUUAUCCGGCUGCUCCCCUAUCAGACCUCAUCUUUUUUAAUUUUAUUUUUUGUUUACCUCCCUCCAUUCAUUCACAUGCUCAUCUGAGAAGACUUAAGUUCUUCCAGCUUUGGACAAUAACUGCUUUUAGAAACUGUAAAGUAGUUACAAGAGAACAGUUGCCCAAGACUCAGAAUUUUUAAAAAAAAAAAUGGAGCAUGUGUAUUAUGUGGCCAAUGUCUUCACUCUAACUUGGUUAUGAGACUAAAACCAUUCCUCACUGCUCUAACAUGCUGAAGAAAUCAUCUGAGGGGGAGGGAGAUGGAUGCUCAGUUGUCACAUCAAAGGAUACAGCAUUAUUCUAGCAGCAUCCAUUCUUGUUUAAGCCUUCCACUGUUAGAGAUUUGAGGUUACAUGAUAUGCUUUAUGCUCAUAACUGAUGUGGCUGGAGAAUUGGUAUUGAAUUUAUAGCAUCAGCAGAACAGAAAAUGUGAUGUAUUUUAUGCAUGUCAAUAAAGGAAUGACCUGUUCUUGUUCUACAGAGAAUGGAAAUUGGAAGUCAAACACCCUUUGUAUUCCAAAAUAGGGUCUCAAACAUUUUGUAAUUUUCAUUUAAAUUGUUAGGAGGCUUGGAGCUAUUAGUUAAUCUAUCUUCCAAUACACUGUUUAAUAUAGCACUGAAUAAAUGAUGCAAGUUGUCAAUGGAUGAGUGAUCAACUAAUAGCUCUGCUAGUAAUUGAUUUAUUUUUCUUCAAUAAAGUUGCAUAAACCAAUGAGUUAGCUGCCUGGAUUAAUCAGUAUGGGAAACAAUCUUUUGUAAAUGCAAAGCUGUUUUUUGUAUAUACUGUUGGGAUUUGCUUCAUUGUUUGACAUCAAAUGAUGAUGUAAAGUUCGAAAGAGUGAAUAUUUUGCCAUGUUCAGUUAAAGUGCACAGUCUGUUACAGGUUGACACAUUGCUUGACCUGAUUUAUGCAGAAUUAAUAAGCUAUUUGGAUAGUGUAGCUUUAAUGUGCUGCACAUGAUACUGGCAGCCCUAGAGUUCAUAGAUGGACUUUUGGGACCCAGCAGUUUUGAAAUGUGUUUAUGGAGUUUAAGAAAUUUAUUUUCCAGGUGCAGCCCCUGUCUAACUGAAAUUUCUCUUCACCUUGUACACUUGAC